Molecule: ribosomal RNA, 497 nt
Filed under: uncultured bacterium
Lineage: Bacteria
Description: partial 16S ribosomal RNA
Rfam family: Bacterial small subunit ribosomal RNA
Source: RNAcentral
GACGAACGCUGGCGGCGUGCCUAAUACAUGCAAGUAGAACGCUGAAGAGAGGAGCUUGCUCUUCUUGGAUGAGUUGCGAACGGGUGAGUAACGCGUAGGUAACCUGCCUUGUAGCGGGGGAUAACUAUUGGAAACGAUAGCUAAUACCGCAUAACAAUGGAUGACACGUGUCAUUUAUUUGAAAGGGGCAAUUGCUCCACUACAAGAUGGACCUGCGUUGUAUUAGCUAGUAGGUGAGGUAAUGGCUCACCUAGGCGACGAUACAUAGCCGACCUGAGAGGGUGAUCGGCCACACUGGGACUGAGACACGGCCCAGACUCCUACGGGAGGCAGCAGUAGGGAAUCUUCGGCAAUGGGGGCAACCCUGACCGAGCAACGCCGCGUGAGUGAAGAAGGUUUUCGGAUCGUAAAGCUCUGUUGUAAGUCAAGAACGGGUGUGAGAGUGGAAAGUUCACACUGUGACGGUAGCUUACCAGAAAGGGACGGCUAACUACGUG